Small nucleolar RNA from Hemibagrus wyckioides, 67 nucleotides. RefSeq annotates it as small nucleolar RNA SNORD58. The transcript has a single exon. The record is from RefSeq and is a predicted model, not a curated record. Lineage: Eukaryota; Metazoa; Chordata; Actinopteri; Siluriformes; Bagridae.
CUGCAAUGAUGACUUCUUAGGACACCUUUGGAUUAAUGAUGAAAAGAAUCUCAUUUUCCUGAGCAGC